CCCAGAAUGUUCCUCUUCUGUUCAAGGAGGGCAUAGGAACAGCCCAGAACUUCCCUUAUUUGCUUUUUUCACCUUUGCAGGGAGAAAAGGGUGACCGAGGAGAGAGGGUGAGUGGCUGUGCAUUUCCCUGACUCCUCUACCCUGCUGGGUGCAGGUCCCUCAGGGUGCUGGGGAGGACUGAGCCCUCAGGGCAACCACACAGGACCUGACCCUUCUCUCUGCAGGGCCCCCCUGGAUUUGUAGAUGGGGCAGUACCUCGAGGGGACCCUGGACCCCCGGGCCUGCCUGGGGACCCCGGGCCUCGGGGACCUGCUGGGCCCCCUGGCCUGAAGGGAGAGAAGGUAAGAAGGUGCUGCCCGCUGGGGCUGGACCUCACACCACUCUCCAGCAAGGAUUCCCAUCUAAUGGGCAUCCCCAUGUCAUGAGCAUAGCUGUCACCUUUCCAAUUCCCCAGGGUGAUGGCACAGAAGGUUUCCCAGGGCCACCUGGCCGCCCCGGGGACCCAGGAGAGAGGGUGAGUUUGCUGAGAGAAGGUAAGGCAGGCAGGAGCUGGCCAUGCCAGAGACCCAAACCCCGAGGGCACGCUUGAGCACCGGUGCUUUGAACAGCCUGGGCAUUUGCCUUGUCACACCCAGGGUGACAAUGUCUCUGUUCUCCUCUGCAGGGUCCUCGGGGACCACCAGGGGAGCAGGGCAGGAAGGUGAGCGGGGCAGGGACCCAAGGGAUGCUCCUGCCAUGCCUUUGGCAGAGAGAAGGGGGUUCUGGGUUCUGUGCCAGCACCCAGGAUGUCCCCCAGAGGUCCUGCUGCCCCUGACCCUUGGUUUCUCCUAUACCAGGGAGACCGUGGGGCACCGGGCGAGCUGGGAGAGACGGGCGAGAAGGGAGACCGCGGUGUGCCGGGCCCAGAGGGUGAGAAGGUAGGUGCAUGGCAUGGUGGAGUGAUGCCUACGCUGCCCUGGGCAGGAUGCCCACACACCUUCCUCUUCCUCCUCUCCUGCAGGGUGAGAUGGGAGCCCCAGGGCACCCAGGGCCAUCAGGCAGAGAGGUGAGCCAGGGUAGUGGGUGUGUGGAGCCAGGAGCUGCCGUGCCCUGGGUGCACAUUCCCAGGCACUGCCAGCUCCCUGAGGUCUCUGAUCUUGCCACAGGGAGCUCCAGGACCAACUGGCCCCCGAGGGGAGAAGGUGAGUUCAAAGUGGGGUCCCAGUGGGGUGGCAGGGGUCUGUUGGGGAAGGACCUGGCAGUGACACCUGUCUCUCUGCAGGGCGAUCCAGGACCACCUGGCAGGCCAGUAAGUGAUGCUGCCCACCUCUGCCUGCCCCAGCCCCAGGACAGGGAGCCACGGGCAGUGCCCAGCAUGGUCUCCUCUGCUUCUCCUCCAGGCUCCCAGCGUGGCUGGUGUUGGAGAGAAGGGUGACAGAGGUUUCCCAGGACCAGAAGGACCUCCCGGCCCCAAGGGUGAAGCAGGAGAUAGAGGUGCCAGUGUGAGUACUGCCUUGAGGAUAGGAAGCACAUGGCACAGCCCUCCCUAGACCCAUGGUGCCUGUGCUGCUGCUGCAUGCUAUGUCCUUUCACAUCUAGGGUCCCCCUGGCCUGAGCAUCCCAGGGCCAGCUGGCCCCAAAGGCGAGCAGGGCGAUCGGGUGAGUCUGGGGGCACCCUGGGGACACCAGCUCAUGGCCCUGCUCCCUCUCCUGCCAAGGGGUCACCGAGGUUCCCAGUGACACCUGCUCUUCCUCUCCAACAACCAGGGUAUCGCUGGCCUCCCAGGCAGGAGUGGCCCAAAGGUGAUGUCACUGCCCUUCCAUCCAUCCGUCCAUCCAUCCCUCUGGCUGGCUGGCUCUAGAGGGGCUGCUCCUGCAGGCUGUGCCCCUUCUCUGCCCAGCUGCCCAGACCCUGCCCUGACUGUUGCCCCUUCUCUUGCCUAGGGUGACCCAGGAGAGCCCGGGGAGAAGGGGGAGCCGGGCCGAGCAGGCAGCCCCGGGCAGAUGGGGCUGCGAGGCAAGGAGGUAGUGUGGUACAAGGGGCUGUGGGGCACCGCGGCCCUGAGGAGAGGCGGGGCUGGCAGGGAGCAGGGGGAUGCUGGUCACUUGUACUUUUCUCUCCUGGCCGGUGCCCACUGAUUUGUGCCUCAGGGAGAGCGAGGAGAGAAAGGUGACGAAGGCACCCCGGUAAGUGAGGGUCCCCAGGACCACUGCCCCCCUUCCCACUGCCUCUGAUCCCACUGCCCCCCACUCACCCCCUCCUUCCCCACAGGGUGAAGCGGGUCUGCCUGGCAAGCCUGGAGACAGGGGUCCCCGGGUAAGUGCAGGGCUGCUGGGCACCCCGGGGCAGGAGAGAGACUUGUGGCCUCGGGGUGGCUCCUGCUAAUGCACAUCUUCCCUUUGCCCUCCACCCAGGGCCUUCCUGGCUACCGUGGCCCCCCCGGGGAGAAGGGCGACUUGGGGGACCCAGGACCUGAAGGCAGGAAUGUAAGUAGCCCCUCGUAUGUGCCCAUGGACACCCACCACUCCAACACCUCAUUGCCCCACACCCACCCUUACCCCAGGGGUACCCCCCAUUCCACAGGACCCACACCCCACGGGUCCCCCAUUCCCUCCCCCUCUGACUCCAUCCCUCUUUCCUGCAGGGCAGCCCUGGAGCACCAGGGAGCAAGGGUGACCGUGGGGACCCAGUGAGUGAUGGCAGGGCCACAUGUGGCCCCCCACCCCAGAGCCAGCUGUGCCCUCCCCAGGGCUGUGCCAGCUCGCCUUAAUCUGCUUCCCUUGCCCUUCUUUCAGGGGCCUCCCGGACCCCCAGGACGAACUGUAAGUUCUGCCUCCCUUCUCCCUGCCCAUGGGCUGGUGUCCAGCCCCGUGUGCUCCAACAGCUCCUCUCUGCCCCACAGGUCGAUGUUGGGCUCGGAGGAGUGGGGGGAAAGGGUGAGAAGGUAAUGAAUAAUGAGUCCUUGGGAUGCUGGUGGUGGGAUACCCUCUGCUGCCCUCUGGGCUCUGCCUGGCUGCUGGCAUCAUUGUUGAUCAAGCCCUCUGUGCCCAAAACAGCCUCUGCUGUGUGCAGCUGGUGUGCACCACCACUGAGAGGCACAUGGGGAGCACAGGGGCUGACACUCAUACCCUG
RNAcentral lists this long non-coding RNA (3112 nucleotides) under Taeniopygia guttata (zebra finch). RNAcentral's name for it is "lncRNA (ENSTGUG00000027309.1)". The record is from RNAcentral. Lineage: Eukaryota; Metazoa; Chordata; Aves; Passeriformes; Estrildidae.